GUCAGAGGAUCAAAGACUAAGAAUGCCGCGUCCUGCGGCAACGUCUUUGUGGCACCUUCCUUGGGGC
This 67-nucleotide small RNA is filed under the name Bacillus sp. MUM 13. RNAcentral's name for it is "Bacillaceae-1 RNA". It matches the Rfam family "Bacillaceae-1 RNA". Lineage: Bacteria; Bacillati; Bacillota; Bacilli; Caryophanales; Bacillaceae. The record is from Rfam by way of RNAcentral.